This 490-nucleotide ribosomal RNA is filed under the name uncultured bacterium. RNAcentral describes it as "partial 16S ribosomal RNA". It matches the Rfam family "Bacterial small subunit ribosomal RNA", at positions 30 to 507 of the family's 1533-position model. The record is from RNAcentral.
AUUGAACGCUGGCGGCAGGCCUAACACAUGCAAGUCGAAUGGUAACAGGAAGCAGCUUGCUGUUUCGCUGACGAGUGGCGGACGGGUGAGUAAUGUCUGGGAAACUGCCUGAUGGAGGGGGAUAACUACUGGAAACGGUAGCUAAUACCGCAUAACGUCGCAAGACCAAAGAGGGGGACCUUCUGGCCUCUUGCCAGCAGGUGUGCCCAGAUGGGAUUAGCUAGUAGGUGGGGUAACGGCUCACCUAGGCGACGAUCCCUAGCUGGUCUGAGAGGAUGACCAGCCACACUGGAACUGAGGCACGGUCCAGACUCCUACGGGAGGCAGCAGUGGGGAAUAUUGCACAAUGGGCGCAAGCCUGAUGCAGCCAUGCCGCGUGUAUGAAGAAGGCCUUCGGGUUGUAAAGUACUUUCAGCGGGGAGGAAGGGAGUAAAGUUAAUACCUUUGCUCAUUGACGUUACCCGCAGAAGAAGCACCGGCUAACUCCGUG